CUCUGAGGCGGGCCAAGAGCGUAGUUCUGGUUGUUGCUGUCUGGGCUCACAGUGUGGCAUUAUCAUUUCAUCUUCAGCGCCUCUUCCUGAGGAGACUCUGCCCCUGGUCUGAGACACAUCCACAACUGAGCAUUAUUUGGACAGCAAGGAGAUCAAACCAGUCAAUCCUAAAGGAAAUCAACCCUGAAUAUUAAUUGGAAGGACUGAUGCUGAAGCUGAAACUCCAAUACUUUGGCUACCUGCUACAAAGAGCUGACUCAUUGGAAAAGACCCCGAUGCUGGGAAAGAUUGAGGGCAGGAGGAGAAGGAGACGACAGAGGAUGAGAUGGUUGGAUGGCAUUACCAACUCGAUGGACAUGAGUUUGAGCAAACUCUAAGCAACAGUGAAGGGCAGGGAAGCCUGGCAUGCAGCAGUUCAUAGAGUUGCAAAGAGUUGGACAUGACUUGGCGACUGAAUGAUAACAACACCAGCAUUCUUUAUAAAAGGAACAGGAUAGGAUGGAGUGGAAAUGGCAUUGUUUAUUUAUUUAUUUGGCUAUGCCAGGUCUUGGGUGCAGCACACAGGAUCUAGUCCCCUGACCAGGGAUCGAACCUGUGCCCCCUGCAUUGUGAGCUCCGAAUCUUAGCCACUGGACCACCAAGGAAGUCCUGGAAAUUGUAUUGCUUCAUCACCCUUUCAUUUCAGGGCUACACCCAAGCUCCCAGGCUCUAACCAUGCCUCUCUUUCUCUCCUCUCUUCCCUCCUUCCUGCAGAAACGUUAGCCAGAGGGCCCCUCCCAACCUCUCUGCUAAUGACACUAAUUAGCAAACCCACUUUCACCUGGUGGGCAGCUUGGCAUCAGGAGACUUUCAACACCAGAACUUCCUCCUCAUCCUGCCAGGACUGGGAGAAUUGAGCAUCUCAAAGAGGGCAGGUGCCAAUCUCCCUUGGCAAGCCAUGGCAUUUCUCUACUUUUGUCAAAACUGUAGCAAAAUCCAGCUCAGUUUCUUGAGUUCUUCUGAAACUCAGAAAAGAAAAAAUAAGGAUUCCAUAUUCUAUUCCUGAACUUGCUGUACUGAGUUUCUUCUGUUAUAUUUGUCUGUUUCUGCACUAAAACCACAGAGGUUUAGUUAUUCUACUUCAAUAGGAGUAUUAGUAGAUUUAGUUAUUCUACAUCAGUAAAUACAUGUCUUUCCCCAGUAUUGGUUGUUUCCAAAUGACAGAGUGCUCAGGGCUGGGGCACUGG
This is a long non-coding RNA of Bos taurus (domestic cattle), 1226 nucleotides long. Lineage: Eukaryota; Metazoa; Chordata; Mammalia; Artiodactyla; Bovidae. The record is from Ensembl.